Molecule: long non-coding RNA, 432 nt
Filed under: Carica papaya (papaya)
Lineage: Eukaryota; Viridiplantae; Streptophyta; Magnoliopsida; Brassicales; Caricaceae
Description: long non-coding RNA (CPAP_LNC009705)
Source: RNAcentral
ACGGCUCAAAUUAAAAGGGGAAUGUUAUAAAUAAUCGCAUUCACACCCAACCCCAAACCCUAGCCGCCAGAACCCUCGCUGGAGAAGACAACCCAGCUACCGGAGGAACUGGCUGCCGCCACCAGCCGCCACACCGAAAGAUUUUUUGGCCGCCAAACAAGGUAAAAUUUCUCUCAUUGGCUCGUUUUUGGAUGCUGAACCUCCCUGUGGCCAAAUCGGAGCCAAGCCACCGAUCAAUUGGCCGGAAAACAGUGCCGAAGUCCAGCGGCGCCGCCGCGGGUUUUCUCGGUUUUUGCCUCCGAUGAGGCCCUUCCUGGUUCCCGUUCCAUGUAAUUUUUAUACCACCGUGACCACCGUUUUUUUCUCUACAGGUUGACCAGAGCAAAACACCAAAUCGCAACUCACGCUGAAGGAGCUGCCGCACCCGAGAGC